UGAGUCUCCUGCCAGCUUUACUCAGAUGUCCAAAUUGCUGAUACUCCUUGGCAUUGUGGUUCUGCCAGUGUCAGGAGAAUGGAAAGAAAGAGUUUUUUCCUGUAAUGGAAUUUUCAGAUUACUGUAUGUAUUCUGGCUGGGCUUCAAAAUGAAGAGUGGGUGGAAAACAAAAAGACUUUUACAGUCCUAUUGCAGAGAGGUGCCAGGGGCUGGCAACAUAAAAACACAGCUUUUUAAAAAAGUCAGAAUCCCUGAAGAAAACUAAAUGUUUAAUUCUCAGGCUUGAGGAUCUCCUGAUGCUGCAAGUAAUGCAAUGUUUUUAUCUGUGUUUGGGGGACAGUGGUGGCCUCACUGAGUUUUUGUCUAGGAGGACACUUACCAAGGAAGAGCUCCACCAGGUUCAGAGCCUGCAUGGAGGGUUCCUAGCUCAUAAACUGAGGAGGACAUAAACUUAGGAGUUUAUGUCCUCAGUUAAGAGUUCCAAAGAGGAACACCAAAUUGGGAAAGGACUACUAAUUAUUUCUUGAAACAUGCCCUUUUAUUAGGAUUGAGUAUUUCAAAACAUUGGGCAUAAAAAGGAGAAAUAAAAUGCAUGCUUGAUGGAGAGAAGUUUGGAGCCACUGGGAUAACAAAAGUGAAAUCUUCAGAAGAAUUGAAGAGAACAGCAAGUUGGACUAGAAAAUCAGCAAUAUGAUUUCCUGCAUUGAGCCCCGAAACCACCAGUGAGAGUUGGAGGAUACCUUGGCAAUCUUGGAAGAACCAUACAUGAUCUCCUGCCCAGCAAUUUACUCUUAAAAAGGUGGCUGGAGCUAAAG
Molecule: long non-coding RNA, 815 nt
Filed under: Homo sapiens (human)
Lineage: Eukaryota; Metazoa; Chordata; Mammalia; Primates; Hominidae
Description: HSALNT0401285
Source: RNAcentral